Molecule: ribosomal RNA, 704 nt
Filed under: uncultured Lachnospiraceae bacterium
Lineage: Bacteria; Bacillati; Bacillota; Clostridia; Lachnospirales; Lachnospiraceae
Description: bacterial SSU rRNA
Rfam family: Bacterial small subunit ribosomal RNA
Source: RNAcentral
GAUGAACGCUGGCGGCGUGCUUAACACAUGCAAGUCGAACGGGAAACCUUUUAUUGAAGCUUCGGCAGAUUUAGAUUGUUUCUAGUGGCGGACGGGUGAGUAACGCGUGGGUAACCUGCCUUAUACAGGGGGAUAACAGUCAGAAAUGACUGCUAAUACCGCAUAAGCGCACAGAGCUGCAUGGCUCGGUGUGAAAAACUCCGGUGGUAUAAGAUGGACCCGCGUUGGAUUAGCUAGUUGGUGAGGUAACGGCCCACCAAGGCGACGAUCCAUAGCCGGCCUGAGAGGGUGAACGGCCACAUUGGGACUGAGACACGGCCCAGACUCCUACGGGAGGCAGCAGUGGGGAAUAUUGCACAAUGGGGGAAACCCUGAUGCAGCGACGCCGCGUGAAGGAAGAAGUAUCUCGGUAUGUAAACUUCUAUCAGCAGGGAAGAAAAUGACGGUACCUGACUAAGAAGCCCCGGCUAACUACGUGCCAGCAGCCGCGGUAAUACGUAGGGGGCAAGCGUUAUCCGGAUUUACUGGGUGUAAAGGGAGCGUAGACGGAUGGACAAGUCUGAUGUGAAAGGCUGGGGCUCAACCCCGGGACUGCAUUGGAAACUGCCCGUCUUGAGUGCCGGAGAGGUAAGCGGAAUUCCUAGUGUAGCGGUGAAAUGCGUAGAUAUUAGGAGGAACACCAGUGGCGAAGGCGGCUUACUGGA